RNAcentral lists this ribosomal RNA (497 nucleotides) under Bacillus sp. (in: firmicutes). Its description in RNAcentral is "bacterial SSU rRNA". It matches the Rfam family "Bacterial small subunit ribosomal RNA", at positions 153 to 645 of the family's 1533-position model. Lineage: Bacteria; Bacillati; Bacillota; Bacilli; Caryophanales; Bacillaceae. The record is from RNAcentral.
GAAACGGACGCUAAUACCGCAUACGUCCUACGGGAGAAAGCGGGGGAUCUUCGGACCUCGCGCCAUUAGAUGAGCCUAGGUCGGAUUAGCUAGUUGGUGAGGUAAUGGCUCACCAAGGCGACGAUCCGUAACUGGUCUGAGAGGAUGAUCAGUCACACUGGAACUGAGACACGGUCCAGACUCCUACGGGAGGCAGCAGUGGGGAAUAUUGGACAAUGGGCGAAAGCCUGAUCCAGCCAUGCCGCGUGUGUGAAGAAGGUCUUCGGAUUGUAAAGCACUUUAAGUUGGGAGGAAGGGUAGUAACCUAAUACGUUGCUACUUUGACGUUACCGACAGAAUAAGCACCGGCUAACUUCGUGCCAGCAGCCGCGGUAAUACGAAGGGUGCAAGCGUUAAUCGGAAUUACUGGGCGUAAAGCGCGCGUAGGUGGUUCAGUAAGUUGGAAGUGAAAUCCCCGGGCUCAACCUGGGAACUGCUUUCAAAACUGCUGAGCUAGA